Molecule: non-coding RNA, 368 nt
Organism: Lonchura striata (white-rumped munia)
Lineage: Eukaryota; Metazoa; Chordata; Aves; Passeriformes; Estrildidae
Source: RefSeq, a predicted model, not a curated record
AUCCGGGCGGGAAACUGGGAUGGAGCCGGAAGAGAAUACCGGGAUGGAGCCGGGCGGGAAACCGGGAUGGAUCCGGGCGGGAAUAUCGGAAGAGAUCCGGGUGGGAAUCCCGGGAGGGAUCCCGGCGGGAAUCCUGGGAUGGACCAGGGCAGGAAACCCAGGAUGGAUCUCGGGUGGGAAUCCUAGGAUGGAUCCCGACGUGCCUAUAUGAAUCAAAGGAAUAUUGCUAUAUGUAAUUAUAAGCACACACACAACUGUGUAUUUUACCAUGAAAUAAAUGGUGAAUGAAAGGUGAAGCAGCUUUUGUCUUCUGAAGAACGUAGCAAACUUCUUUCAACCUUUAGUUUGAAGAAGCACCUUUGAAUGAC